GCCUUCGUGGUGUAGUGGUCAGCACGCUCGACGCGUAACCGAGAGGUCCCUUGGUUCGAUUCUCGGCGAAGGCG
RNAcentral lists this transfer RNA (74 nucleotides) under Stegodyphus mimosarum. It matches the Rfam family "tRNA". From Rfam's summary of the family: Transfer RNA (tRNA) molecules are approximately 80 nucleotides in length. Their secondary structure includes four short double-helical elements and three loops (D, anti-codon, and T loops). Lineage: Eukaryota; Metazoa; Arthropoda; Arachnida; Araneae; Eresidae. The record is from Rfam by way of RNAcentral.